This 253-nucleotide ribosomal RNA is filed under the name uncultured bacterium. Its description in RNAcentral is "partial 16S ribosomal RNA". It matches the Rfam family "Bacterial small subunit ribosomal RNA", at positions 524 to 776 of the family's 1533-position model. The record is from RNAcentral.
UACAGAGGUCUCAAGCGUUGUUCGGAUUCAUUGGGCGUAAAGGGUGCGUAGGCGGCGCGGUAAGUCGGGUGUGAAAUCUCGGGGCUUAACUCCGAAACUGCAUUCGAUACUGCCGUGCUUGAGGACUGGAGAGGAGACUGGAAUUUACGGUGUAGCGGUGAAAUGCGUAGAUAUCAUGAGGAAGACCAGUGGCGAAGGCGGAUCUCUGGACAGUUCCUGACACUGAGGCACGAAGGCCAGGGGAGCAAACGGG